CUCCGGUUGAUCCCGCCGGACCCGACUGCUAUCGGAUUGAGAUUUAGCCAUGCGAGUCGAACGUCCCCCUGUUGCGGGGGGCGUGGCGUACGGCUCAGUAACACGUAGUCAACCUGCCCUGGAGACAAGGACAACCCCGGGAAACUGGGAUUAAUCCUUGAUAGGUCAUCUCAUCUGGAAGGAGAGAUGGCUUAAAGGGGUACGCGGGCUUCUUCCGCGAAUUCGCUCCAGGAUGGGACUGCGACCGAUCAGGCUGUUGGCGGGGUAAUGGCCCACCAAACCAGUAACCGGUACGGGCCUUGAGAGAGGUGGCCCGGAGAUGGACACUGAGAGAAGGGUCCAGGUCCUACGGGGCGCAGCAGGCGCGAAACCUUCGCAAUGCGCGAAAGCGUGACGAGGUUAAUCCGAGUGACUCCCGCUGAGGGGGUCUUUUGUCAGCUGUAAAUAGGCAGGCGAAUAAGGGGAGGGCAAGCCUGGUGUCAGCCGCCGCGGUAAUACCAGCUCCUCGAGUGGUCGGGGCGAUUAUUGGGCCUAAAGCAUCCGUAGCCGGUUCCGUAGGUCCUCUGUUAAAUCCAACCGCUUAACGGUUGACCUGCAGAGGAUACCGCGGGACUAGGAGGCGGGAGAGGCGGACGGUACUCCGCGUGUAGGGGUAAAAUCCUUUGAUCCGCGGAAGACCACCAGUGGCGAAGGCGGUCCGCCAGAACGCGCUCGACGGUGAGGGAUGAAAGCUGGGGGAGCGAACCGGAUUAGAUACCCGGGUAGUCCCAGCCGUAAACGAUGCUAGCUAGAUGAUUCAUUCGCAAGUCGCGAAUGAAGUGUCGCAGGGAAGCCGUUAAGCUAGCCGCCUGGGGAGUACGGUCGCAAGACUGAAACUUAAAGGAAUUGGCGGGGGAGCA
Molecule: ribosomal RNA, 899 nt
Filed under: uncultured archaeon
Lineage: Archaea
Description: bacterial SSU rRNA
Rfam family: Archaeal small subunit ribosomal RNA
Source: RNAcentral